GGGGGUGAAAGGCUUCGACUCGAAUCGUUCAGUCUAAGAAGCGCAUGCCGAGGUUGUCGGGAGGCCUCGUAAAACACCUGACAAAAACAUAAAUGCUAAUGAACAAUUAGCGUUAGCUGCUUAAUUGCAGCAAGCCCUCCGGCUGGUUUCCUGGGAGGUCGGAUGCGGCUCCGGAAUGCAGGAUAGUUGCGGCGCCUCCGCUUUUGGGGCCCGUAGCGAAAUUUUAAAAAGCUGGCUGUUUGCAUAUCCCGCUUACCGAAGAUGUGAACGGCGAGAUUAAAAUGGUAAGACAAGCAUGUAAUAUCUUCUAGGUUGAGAUCCGGGGACGGGAGUUCGAAUCUCCCCACCUCCACCA
This 355-nucleotide transfer-messenger RNA is filed under the name Candidatus Omnitrophota. RNAcentral describes it as "JAHIPI01 sp018894435 Standard tmRNA". It matches the Rfam family "transfer-messenger RNA". Rfam says of the family: Bacterial tmRNA, also known as 10Sa RNA or SsrA, is named for its dual tRNA and mRNA-like properties. Its role is to liberate the mRNA from a stalled ribosome. RNAcentral also lists the same sequence under 1 other name. The record is from RNAcentral. Lineage: Bacteria; Pseudomonadati.